UGAGCUUUGUAUGGGGAACUUUAAUAAUAUUAUAUGUUAUUUGAACAUAUUUUCUUUGUACAUAGACUAUCUUGUGUUUGUGUAGAUACUUUACAAGUAUUCUGGGAUUUUGCAUAGACCUACUGUAUGUCAGGCAAUGAAAGAAAAGAAGAUCUGCUUUCAGCAACCACCUCUAAUGCCACCCUAAGCACUAAUGUCUGCUUCUUUUGAAUAUUUUACCCAAAGCACCUCAGUCUUUUAAUUUUCACAUUUACCACCACAUGCAAACCAGACUUUAGCAGCUCUUCAUUCUACAUGUCCAUAACAGUCUGAUCAUGGAACCCUUACAGACGAAGUUACAAUCCCAUCUUUUCUUCUUAUCAGUGAAAAGUGUUUCUUACAGAUUUUCCCUUUGAAAAAAGAACUCAUCACAAAGAUUCUGGUAACAUGCACACAAGUGUGCUAGAGUCUAUCUGUGUGUGUUUGCACGCCUGUGAAUGUGCAGAUCCAGCUUUGCACGAGACAUAAAUCUGUUUGGCGCUCAGAAUGUGUCUAUCGGUGUGUAUACAGGCUCAGGGAAACCAUGGGUCCUCCAGUGAUGAGGGAAGAGAAAAAAAUCAAUACUUGCCAUGUAGCAUGUAACCAAUAGAAUAAGGGGAAUGAUUUAUGGAUGGAAGGAUGCAGGCAGUAUUAUCUGGGGCCUUGUACAGAGAGAGGGAGAAAGGAGAGAGAGGUGGAGGAUGAAGUGGACUGCAGCAAUUAUUCCUACUAUAUGGCCAGCUUUUUUAUCUUUUCUUGCAGCAAUAACUCCCCCUCUUUUUUUUAAUACUGUGGGACAGAGACGAAAGACUGGUAACGUGUGGAAUGUAGCAUGGAUCAGCUUUUUCUCAAUGGUCUCGGGAUGACGAUAAUAUCUCAUAGUACAGGUACAGCAAGAGAAGGAGAAGAAGAAAGCCAUCAGCAAGCUCUCAUCUCUCCCAGUUUGUCAUGUGACGGAGCCGGUCGCAAAAGCGUUCUAACAACCAGUCAGGGUUAAUGGCCCGGCAUCGAGUGAAAGCAUGGAGGAUAACGAAAAAGUGCUAAUAUUGAACAAAUUAGAACGGGAAGAUCAGAUUGUGGAGCAGAAACUGGAGGCAGAGGGAGGACCCGCAAGCUUUGACAGAUGGUACUCAGCGCUUGACUCCUGCUGGGCUCAGCAGGGCCCACGGUUUAGGACUGUCAAAAAGACUCUGGCCUACGAAGUGGAUAACAAAGUGUGGGCUUUCCUAUAGAAGAGCCCAGAGACAUCCAGGUUGCUCUUGGGUUUCCUUUUCUUCCAACUCGGUUCAGAAACUCAGUUCAUUAAGUUGCCCUUUGCGGCAAGAAAUUAAAUGAGGAAGCAGGAACUGCAACAAGCCAGUGAGAAAGGCUGUUAGCAUGGAUGGAAUAAAGUUUGGGAAAUUCAAGAAAAUCAAACCAGCAAAUGGGGAAUUAGGACAACUUCAAAGAGGAUCCAGAAGAACUAAAUGUCUCUCCUUUUAUUCAUUUUUGAAUAGCAUUGCAAUAUGGGACAAAGCACCAAACGUUGGCUAUAAAUUAUCAUUACAUUGAAUGUUUGCAAGUUACAUCUGAACUGCAAACCUGUUGACAUUUUUUUCCUUACCUUCUUAUUAUGCAUUAAGUCAACAUGGUCACACAGCAUCAGGCAACGGAAUUUGGGAGCAUGUUCCUGGGCAAGAUCAGCUAUGGGUCACAUAAGGUGCUUGCAAUGUGGAAUUAUUGACUCCUCCUCCUUCUUGGAUCCAGAAAUUUACCUUAUUAUAUACCAAGGAUUCGGUACCUCAAGAGAGUAUAUUAAAGUUUUCCAGGGCAAGGAAUGGUUGGUUGGAAGAGCCCUGGAAGAACAAAUGAAAUGAAACACGAUUUGCUUCUUAAAUAAAUAUCCUUCCUGGAAGACCAUUUCCAGUUCUUCAUGCCAUGUGGUGCAGAUGCACUCUAGAGCCUCUCCAGAGGAGGACAGCCAUGCUGGCAAGACGACAGUAGAAAGAAGUCCUAUGAGAAAUUGCUAAAAAAAACAGGUAUGUUUAGUCUGGAGAAGAAUGAGAGAUCAUGUGGGAUCAGUCAUAAGAUAUCUGAAGAGCUGUCAUAUAAAAAGAGGAAGAACAUUCAGAAGUCCACAUUGAGGAAGAUCCAAUGGAAUCCACAGAAGAAUCCAAAGUUCAAAAAUAGUUGUGUUAUUAGUAGAAAAUCUUAAUACGUUUCUUCACUUGACUGUUUUAUAUCCAAAAAAAUUUAAAAGAAAGGUAUGAACACUUUUCAGAGUUACUUCCCUCCACCAUGAUCAGAACAUAGAAGAAGGUCCCUGGUGGAGGUUGAUCUAGACAUUUACAAAUAUGAAGAGGCAACUAUAUGUGUAUACACAUAAACAUGCACACAGGGUGUCCCAAAAGUCUCCAUACACAGGAAAAAUUAACAAACUCAUGUUAUAUAUUUUAUAUUUUUAAUAUUCUCUAUAGUUAUAUUUUGAAAGAGGUGGCCAACACGUGGAGAAUAUUUUGUAAAUAAAAGUGCAUUUAGAUAGAAUAUCCUAUUUUCCUUAUAUAUGGUGACUUUGGGAAAGCCUUAUAUGUUUGUGUGAAUGUGUGUGUAUCUAUAUACCACUUUCUUCCUUUUCAUGUCCCCCCAAAUGUGCUGCCUGUUCCUAAUUGUGCUUAAUGAUGGGGCAAAUCCUGAGACGUGUGAUAAAAGAGCGACAACACACUCAGGAAAGGAACAGGAAUGUUCACAUUAAUUAUGGUGUCUUUCUUUUUAUAGGUCCUUCUUAUCGGAGUGCCUUUUCUGAUUCCUAAAGUGCAGAUUGAAGACAAACGGGAAGCGUCUCAACUGUGCACACAAGCCCAUAUUCCAAUUUUAGAGUCCUCCGGAAAAAUCAAGAGAACACCUGCAUCAGAACUGGUGGAACUGGAUGAAGAAAAUGCUUCUUUUUAAAACAUGGCAUCACAAAUACUCUUAAUGGCUCAGAAGAUGAUGAGAUGUAGGAUACUGGAGAUGUGAGCUCACAAGAAUUAAACCCAGAUGAAUCAGACUCUGAUAAUUAGACUGUCAUACAGAUUAUGAAAUAAAUGAAAGAUUGUGCCUGUUCCAUUCCUCAACAUUUACUGUUUCCAUUUUGUUGUUACUAAUCUAAAUUAUAUUUUUAGUAAAAAAAAAAAUCUAAAUAUAUUUAAGCAUUUUAUUUUAUUCUUAAAAUCCAUCCUUAAAUAUUCUGAACUAUAUUACAGGGGAAAUCCUUUUUUCCAGAAUCAGAAGUCCAAAAACGAGGUGGUGCUUAGAUUCGAUGGCGCCCUAGAUCUGGUGAAAUACAGUAGUUUGAGGGAGAAAGGAACUCCUUUUCUCUUUUAGCCUUUUCUGAAGAUUCUGGGAUUGAAUCUGGGACCUUCUGGAUUUGACAUUUGCACUCUCCUACUGAAUGACAGCCCCUUCCCUGAAGUUCCAGAUGUGCAUCACUGCCAAAGACCAAAAUCUGAAAAGAAAGCACUUGCCAUGGGUUUGAUCAGCUGUGGCUGUUGUUACAUUCCUAUACUUUGCUCUUCAUCUGAGGCCCGAUCUCCCAAACGACACUGAUGAUAAACAUCUGUCAGGGCUAAUGUGGGCCUAGUGGAUCUUGUUGCAAAGCAUGGGGGUUGAACGCUAUGGAGCCCUUCCACUCUACGAUGACAAAUUUUCCAAAAAAACAACCCCCAUCUUGGGUUUUUAAAGGUCAACAUUCCAACGCGCUUCCCCUUGGAAACCACAGGUCUAUUUUAGCCAAUAUCCACCACCAGAAAGGAACUUCCUGCUUACAAUCCUUGCAUGGAUUCUGAUAUUCCCUUGUAGCUUAUUGAAGACCCCUGCUGUUCUGAACCAUUAUUUAUGUGUUAUGAGAUUGCACCAGCAUUUGUUUGUUUGUUGACUUUCUUCCCCGGCCCUUCUCCAGCUGAGCUUGUGACGCAAUCCAUGUCCAUGAGUUUGAAAGUGUUUUCCCCCACAUGUGGUGCUGAAGCCCACUGGCUUCAAUUACAUUUGUCACAGGAGGUGAGUGGGCUGUAAGCUCAGCCUUAGUGCUUGCAGUGAAGUUGCAUUGCUCUUUCGCUAGGCAUCAGCCAAAGAACUGCCUUGAAUGGCCCAGAGCUUUAUAAAGAAUCCAGGCCACUUGGUAGUUUGCUGUGAAGAACCUACACAACACUUUGCAGAUGAAAGAAGUCAGAUUGAUUCUGAUUUUGAAGCUGUGGUCCAAUUGUUAACCAUGGCAGACUGAGAAUAUGAAUAGGAUGCUUGGAGAGAUGAGAUCAGCCAUGUGCAUGCUAGACUUAUGCUAUCCUUUUCUCAUAAAAACAGAGGUCAAUUGAGUAAAGAGGACUUCAAUGCAGCAAGACAGGUAGGUAAAGAUAAAGGUUUUCCCCCUGACAUUAAGUCUUGUUGUAUCAGACUCUGGGGGUUGGUGCUCAUCUCCAUUUCUAAGCCAAAGAGCCGGCAUUUUCUUUUCUUUUCUUUUUUUUAAAUAAAUUUUUAUUAGUGUUCCUUUCAACAUAAACACAGACAAAAACAUACAAUAAAAUAAAUUACAGGAUUGAGAGAGAAAAAAGAUAAAAGGGAAAGGGAAAAAAAUAGAAGGGGGGAAAAAAACAAAAAAAAUGUAUAAUAUAAAAUAAACUUCCAACUAUUGCAUGGUGUCUUUGGAUCUCAUCUUUCCCCCCUUUCCUAAGUUCUUGAAUUGUUCCUGAUAACCCAGAUCAUUCCUUUUCUCCUAUUAUGAGGUUUUGUACAUAUUCUGAUUUUCUCAGGUCUCAAAUUAAAAUCUUCAUUUUUUCCUCUUUUAAGUAUUUUUUAAUCAUUUCCCAGUCCGUUUGUUUUCUUGGACGACCUUGAUUGAUCGCUAGCAGAUACGUCAAUUUGUCCAUAUUCAUUAUUUCUAAGAUCUUAUUGAUCCAGCAUUUCGUUUCCGGCAUUUUCUGGAGAUACCUCCAAGGUCAUGUUAUCUUCCCACCAGAGUGGUACCUAUUGAUCUACUCACAUGUUUUCAAACUGCUAGGUUGGCAGAAGUUGGGGCUAACCCCAAUUUACCCCACUCCCCAGACUCGAACCGCUGACAGGUAUCCAUCUUUAAAGAAUUACAGAUCAAAUUUGCACUAAAUGAGGAGGGCUAGAUAACACCCCAAAGGAAAGGAUCAGAAUCCAAAUUGACUUUAAAAGAUGAGACAUCUGGGUCCAAACCAGCAAAAUAAAUUCCAACAGUGAGAAAUAUAAAGUAUUACACAUAGGCAGAAAAAAAUGAAAUGCAUAGAUAUAGGAUGGAUGACUGCUGACUUGGCAACAGUACAUAUGAUAGGGAUCCAGGAGUCUUAGUGGAGCACAAGCAAAGCCUGAAUCAACAGUAUGAUUGCCAAUAGGAUUCUAGACUUCAGAUAUUGAGGGAAGUAAUGGUUACUUUGGUUAAAACUCACCCAAAAUGCUGUGUCCAGAAACCAGCACCACAAUUCAAGAAGAAUACUGACAAACUGGAAUGUGUCCAGAGAAGGGUAACCAAAAUGAUCAAAGAAUCCAAAGAAAUAAAGAAUAUCUGAGAAACAAAGAAAUAAAGAUGUAAGAGUUGGUUUAUCAAAGUGGCAGUAUUACUGUAAUUAACUACUUUUGUAACUCUUAGAAUUGUUACUGUUAACUUAUUAUUUUAUGGGAGCCGCGGUGGUGCAAUGGGUUAAACCCUUGUGCUGGCUGGACUGCUGACCUGAAAGUUGGGUUGUUGGCCUCAAGCUUGCCAGUUCGAAUCUGCAAGGUGGGGUAAGUGCCCAUCUGUCAGCUCUAGCUUGUGGGGACAUGAGACAAGCCUUCCAGCAACACAUCCGGGCAUCCCGUGGGAAACGUCUCUGUUGACAGCCAAUUCUCUUACACUAAAAACAACUUGCAGUAUGUUCUCAAGUUGCUUCUGAUGAUAUAAAAAAGUAUUACUUUCCAAUUUUUUUUUUUACAAAAAUGUAUGUUGAAUAAAACUCACCUGAGAAAUAAAACCAAUGUAUGAGUUACUAAACCAAAGUUACAUUUUUGGAAACAGCUCCCAGAACAUCUAUAGGCAAUGCAGGUUUUUGUGGUCUAAAAAGAUAUUUUUCCCAAGCUCUGACGUAAAGAACAAACUCAUGUCUUUCCCAAAAGCAAAAAUCUGAAAACAAAACAAAAACAGUGAGGGUGUGGAACAGUGCGGUGUGUGUUUGCGCGUGUAUGUAUGUUUCAAGUCGGUUGGCAACCGCAUCGUAUUUCAGCCUCCCCUAUAACUUGUGGUAUGGGCCAUCUGGAUGCAUUUUACUCUUCUUUGCACCCUGGUUUGAAUCCAUCUAACUCACACUUUGCCCUCUGUCCUUGGUAUGCUAUGAUCUCAUCAAGAAAGAUUCAUUCAUUCCUUGGCCGAGAAGAAAGAAGAAAACCUGAUGGGAACCAGCAGAGGAAAGGAAAAAUACGCAUCAAGCAUUGGGAUGAAAACUCUAUCCAACCAAGAAGAUUUCAGAAAGAGAAAUAGGGAUGAAGUUUAAUGGAUCGGUCUGAAAGAGUUUACAUCCAUGUAAGGUUUAACUAUAUGGAAGGCAAUAAUAAGAGAAGGAGGAAGAUGAGAGGCUGUGCAGCAUUUAAACUCUCAUGAAUAAACUUUUCUAUUGUCAGCACUCACUCUGCCCUGUUUUAAACAACCACAGCCGUGUAAUUUUCAGCUGUUGGGAAAAUUCACCUAUGUUUAUACUCAUUUUUGAAGUCUUACAGAGUCCUUCAGUCUCUUCUGACUUUUCCCCCUUUUAGUACUGAGCUUUUCAUCCGGGCACCAAUGAGUUGGGCACCGAAGCCAAUUUCAUGGGGCUCCACGCGCUCCCUAUUAUACAAGGACCCACCCGCACCAUGCCAGGCUGCCCUGCAAGAAGGAAUGUUAAUUCCUGGGUUUGGAUCUCUUCCCGCGAUUAGGGGGGAAAUCUCUGCUAAGAUGGAAGUUUUAUUAUCAAAGGCACCGUGCAGUUCCACACGCAUUCAGUUCGAUCCCCCUCACAUUCCCUCAGCCACCCACCCACUUUCAUCUCUCUACCGUUCCUCUAGAAAAGAAAAACAAAGCCAAACAGGCCAAGGGGAGCUUGCCUAUUCAAAGGCCCUUCAAAGAAAACACAACCCACAAUAAACAACUCCCUCAGCUGUUCACCAGAGAAUCACAAGGUAUUGUGAAACUUUGUAACUGCUGAUUCAUGACGGAUUUAGGAAAAACAUCAGCUGAAGUAAUCCGGUCAGGGCAGUGGGUCCAACCACAAAGUUAGCAAGAAAAACAAAUUUUUCUUUUCAUUAACUUUUGACUGAAUGUAGCUUUCAGGACUUGUACUAAAGCCUGUUGUAUGCUACCGUACUUGUUCUUGUUGUUGUGUGCCUUGAAUUCAUUUACAACUUCUGGUGAUCCUAAAGUGAAACCUAUCACGGGGUUUUCUGAGGCUGAGAGUGUGUUACCUGCCCAGUGGGUUUCAUGGCCAAGCAAGGAUUUGAACCCUGGUCUCCAGAGCUGCAAGUCCAAUGAUCAAAAUAGGGGACAAUGACCAAACUCUUCUGCAUAAAUAUUGGCAAGAAAGCCCUGAGAUGAGAGCUCAUAACAAAAGGAAGGAAUCAAUAACUUGUAGGCAAAUAUCAAUUUAUUUAUGUGCCUUCAUGUUACCUGUUUACUUAUGAUGACCCCUUGAAUUUUAUAGGAUUUUCUUAGGUAAGGAAUAGUCAAAAGUGCUUUUGUCAAUUUUUCCUCUGAAAUAUAGUCUACAGCACUUGGAACCCCUUGACAGUCCCCCAUCCAAUACUAUCCAGGGCUUAUCCUGCUUAGCUUCCAAAAUCAUAAAGAUCGGAUGUCUUUAUGUUAUCGAGCCAUAACACCCACCAACCCCAACCCCUGAAGAUUUAUCGUUCAUCAAGAGACUGCAAAUAUAUGCUUUUUCUUUAUAUUACAAGCCUUUUCUGGAGAUCUGGAGUUGCAAAAUUCCAAAAUAUUAGAGGUUCUGGGCCUGACCUAGCAACAGCUGCAUUCUAAACCCUUAAUAAAAUGUAUCCAUUUGAUGAUUUUGUAUAACUUGUAUCUUUUAUAUACUGUAUUGAAUCCUUACAUGAAGUGUAUAAAUUGUUUCUAACAUACGUAUCAAAAUGUACUUUGAAAGAGGCCACCUCUCCAUGUCCCCUGUUUGCGUAAUCCCUUGGGAAAGGGAACAAUAGCUAGGCUCUCUCCAGCCAUUUCCCAAGCCAGGGGGUCAUCUUUUUGUUUACAUGCAGAUCAGUGACCCCCUUUGUCAAUAAAAUAAGCUCAGGAUAUUCAUUCAUUCAACUUGAGGCUGAGACUUUGCUGUUCCUGAGGAAGAGGGGGUUUAGUAUACUUCUCAGUGCCAACAGCCAAACCUUUGUCUUUUGAGUCUUCCAACUUUGUCUCACAUGCAAGUGGACACUUAAGUUAAUCAGAAACUCAUCAGCAUAUCUACGCCAUUGUUUCCUCAUGAGACAUCUCUGUUGGAUUAUGGUUGUAUGUGUAUGAAAUGUAAAUCAAGUGUUUUCUGCUGUUUUGCAAGAGUGUGUGUUUCAGCAAUGAAACAGUUAACAGCAGGCUAGUUUUGACUGACAGCCUGCUGUGACCUAUCAGGCAUGAUUUCCGGCCUUUGGAGGUCUGGACUUCCUUCAUUCUGAGGAAUGUGUUUUUUAUCUCUGUGUGGGUUGAGCUGGUGCUUGCCGAGGCGAGAGGCUAUAGAAGAAUGCCAACUCAGAGCAAUGGCUUUUGCUAUGUUUUGUAAAUAUGUUUAUAGAUAUUGAAAUAAAUGUUUGGACUUCAGACUAUGGAUGUGACAUUGAACAGACGAAUUGGUGUGGCAGACAAUUGCAACCAAUUCAUCAGGGUGCUGGAGGAGAUGAUUGAUGGUGUUUGAAGAAACCCACCAGCGCGCACCCUGACCUUCACGCUGUCAAUCUCUAACAGACCAAUCCCCAGCUACCAUUCUUCCUGCCACGGGAAUCCCCACCUGCAGGCUAUGACAUCAAAGGAACUCCCACUCAAUCCUAGUGCAGAUCCUAGCCUGCCUCCUUUCCAGACAAUCAAGGGAGGGAGCGGGAAGUAUUAAUAGCUGUCAGAACUGUAUUUGUCUGUAUGUUUAUGCUUGUACAUUUUGGAGCAAAUUGCUUGUACUUGCACCCUUUCUGGCUGAAUUGUAAUAAACCUUUGUGGCUUGUCUUCAA
Long non-coding RNA from Anolis carolinensis (green anole), 9210 nucleotides. RefSeq lists it as uncharacterized. The record is from RefSeq and is a predicted model, not a curated record. The transcript is spliced from 6 exons. Lineage: Eukaryota; Metazoa; Chordata; Lepidosauria; Squamata; Anolidae.